AUCGGGGCAGGGUGAGUCGACCCCUAAGGCGAGGCCGAAAGGCGUAGUCGAUGGGAAACAGGUUAAUAUUCCUGUACUUGGUGUUACUGCGAAGGGGGGACGGAGAAGGCUAUGUUGGCCGGGCGACGGUUGUCCCGGUUUAAGCGUGUAGGCUGGUUUUCCAGGCAAAUCCGGAAAAUCAAGGCUGAGGCGUGAUGACGAGGCACUACGGUGCUGAAGCAACAAAUGCCCUGCUUCCAGGAAAAGCCUCUAAGCAUCAGGUAACAUCAAAUCGUACCCCAAACCGACACAGGUGGUCAGGUAGAGAAUACCAAGGCGCUUGAGAGAACUCGGGUGAAGGAACUAGGCAAAAUGGUGCCGUAACUUCGGGAGAAGGCACGCU
This 382-nucleotide ribosomal RNA is filed under the name Escherichia coli. RNAcentral's name for it is "partial 23S ribosomal RNA". It matches the Rfam family "Bacterial large subunit ribosomal RNA", at positions 1368 to 1752 of the family's 2925-position model. The record is from RNAcentral. Lineage: Bacteria; Pseudomonadati; Pseudomonadota; Gammaproteobacteria; Enterobacterales; Enterobacteriaceae.